Molecule: ribosomal RNA, 254 nt
Filed under: uncultured bacterium
Lineage: Bacteria
Description: partial small subunit ribosomal RNA
Rfam family: Bacterial small subunit ribosomal RNA
Source: RNAcentral
GGGACGAACGCUGGCGGCGUGCUUAACACAUGCAAGUCGAGCGGAAAGGCCCUUCGGGGUACUCGAGCGGCGAACGGGUGAGUAACACGUGGGCAACCUGCCCUUAGCUCUGGGAUAGCUCCGGGAAACCGGAAUUAAUACCGGAUAUGACCUAGGCCGACAUCGGCCGUGGUGGAAAGUUUUUCGGCUAGGGAUGGACUCGCGGCCUAUCAGCUAGUUGGUGGGUAAUGGCCUACCAAGGCGACGACGGGUAG